This is a long non-coding RNA of Salvia splendens (bonfire salvia), 494 nucleotides long. RefSeq lists it as uncharacterized. The transcript is spliced from 5 exons. Lineage: Eukaryota; Viridiplantae; Streptophyta; Magnoliopsida; Lamiales; Lamiaceae. The record is from RefSeq and is a predicted model, not a curated record.
AAAAAAGGAAAAAAAAUGAGAAAAAAGUAGAGAUUAUCACUCAACUAUGCCUCUGGAGCUUGAAGAUGUUGAGCCAAGAGAAAUGAGUUUGGAAGAGAUUGAGAGCAGAUUAGGAUCUCUUAUUCAAGUAGAGACGAUUACUCAACUAAAAUGUGCGGUGUGGAAAGAGCGGCUUAAAGGGUACUUGAAUUUCUUCAAGAGCUUCUGGAUCUGUUGAGAAAUGAGGGGCUACACUAUCAGAAGUCUGGACAUAACAUUGAAAAGUUCGAGAAAAAAUGCAUGAACUGAUGAACCAAGUCAUCCAAACAUAUUCUGCUGCAACGACUAUUCCUUAAAUUUUACAGGGUUUGCGUUCUAGGAACAACAGAACGAGGACCGAGUCCGCUGACCAUGUUGGAGUCUUAUUAGAUAACUAUGGAGCUGAGGAUGACAGGGAAAGGAUUAUUGUUCGCAGAUUCAAAUUUGAAGAAUUGAGAAUAGAGGAAAUUCAAGAU